UACGGAGGGUGCAAACGUUGCUCGGAAUUACUGGGCGUAAAGCGAGCGUAGGCGGCUAUGUAAGUCGGGUGUGAAAGCCCUCGGCUCAACCGAGGAAGUGCAUUCGAAACUGCAUAGCUUGAGUACUGGAGAGGGUAACGGAAUUCCCGGUGUAGAGGUGAAAUUCGUAGAUAUCGGGAGGAACACCAGAGGCGAAGGCGGUUACCUGGACAGAUACUGACGCUGAGGCUCGAAAGCGUGGGGAGCAAAC
This 250-nucleotide ribosomal RNA is filed under the name uncultured bacterium. Its description in RNAcentral is "partial 16S ribosomal RNA". It matches the Rfam family "Bacterial small subunit ribosomal RNA", at positions 524 to 773 of the family's 1533-position model. The record is from RNAcentral.